RNAcentral lists this transfer RNA (74 nucleotides) under Pseudomonadales bacterium. RNAcentral describes it as "tRNA-Pro". It matches the Rfam family "tRNA". From Rfam's summary of the family: Transfer RNA (tRNA) molecules are approximately 80 nucleotides in length. Lineage: Bacteria; Pseudomonadati; Pseudomonadota; Gammaproteobacteria; Pseudomonadales. The record is from RNAcentral.
CGGAGCGUAGCUCAGAUGGCUAGAGCGCGCGCAUGGGGUGCGUGAGGUCGCAGGUUCAAGUCCUGUCGCUCCGA